This is a transfer RNA of 74 nucleotides. It matches the Rfam family "tRNA". Rfam says of the family: Transfer RNA (tRNA) molecules are approximately 80 nucleotides in length. Their secondary structure includes four short double-helical elements and three loops (D, anti-codon, and T loops). Further hydrogen bonds mediate the characteristic L-shaped molecular structure. tRNAs have two regions of fundamental functional importance: the anti-codon, which is responsible for specific mRNA codon recognition, and the 3' end, to which the tRNAs corresponding amino acid is attached (by aminoacyl-tRNA synthetases). tRNAs cope with the degeneracy of the genetic code in two manners: having more than one tRNA (with a specific anti-codon) for a particular amino acid; and 'wobble' base-pairing, i.e. permitting non-standard base-pairing at the 3rd anti-codon position.
UAGAAUAUUAGGUUAUAUUGGAUAAAUAAGAGUUUUGAAAAUUCUUUAUAAGUGUUCGAUUCACUUAUAACCUU